GCCUGGUUAGCUCAAUCGGUAGAGCGUGAGACUCUUAGCAGUUCACGUUCUGAAAAGAACGAUUGAUCUCUCUGCAAUCUCAAGGUUGCGGGUUCGACCCCCGCAUCGGGCU
Molecule: transfer RNA, 112 nt
Filed under: Neocucurbitaria cava
Lineage: Eukaryota; Fungi; Ascomycota; Dothideomycetes; Pleosporales; Cucurbitariaceae
Description: Pyrenochaeta cava tRNA
Rfam family: tRNA
About the family: Transfer RNA (tRNA) molecules are approximately 80 nucleotides in length. Their secondary structure includes four short double-helical elements and three loops (D, anti-codon, and T loops).
Source: Rfam by way of RNAcentral